RNAcentral lists this small RNA (77 nucleotides) under Xanthomonas melonis. Its description in RNAcentral is "sX9 sRNA". It matches the Rfam family "Xanthomonas sRNA sX9". The record is from RNAcentral. Lineage: Bacteria; Pseudomonadati; Pseudomonadota; Gammaproteobacteria; Lysobacterales; Lysobacteraceae.
AUGUACCGCUCAUACACUGCGGUUCCGAGCGCGCCGCCCACACCCGCCUGACGACCGCUCGCUAGGUACUGUUAGCC